UACGGAGGGGGCAAGCGUUGUCCGGAAUCAUUGGGCGUAAAGCGCGUGUAGGCGGCUCGGUAAGUCCGCUCUGAAAGCCCGGGGCUCAACCCCGGGAGACGGGUGGAUACUGCUGAGCUCGAGUCCGGAAGAGGAGUGUGGAAUUCCUGGUGUAGCGGUGAAAUGCGCAGAUAUCAGGAGGAACACCAAUGGCGAAGGCAGCACUCUGGGACGGUACUGACGCUGAGACGCGAAAGCGUGGGGAGCAAACAGG
This 253-nucleotide ribosomal RNA is filed under the name uncultured bacterium. RNAcentral describes it as "partial 16S ribosomal RNA". It matches the Rfam family "Bacterial small subunit ribosomal RNA", at positions 524 to 776 of the family's 1533-position model. The record is from RNAcentral.